CUCCGCUUUGCUUUAUGCUCAAAAGAUGGCACACCCGGUAAAAUAGAUACUGCAUACCACACUCUCUAUCUAGAGGACCUAACACUGUGAGCCCUCUCAGAGAAGAUAGCUCUCCUUUUACAAUGUAACUCCCCAGCAGAUCAGCCAUAUCUACAGACAAGGACCUACUGGGAUCCACGUGCUGGACUCUGAUGAGAUGAAAAUAAUGAUGGCUACCAUGUUGAAGUGACUAGAGGAAAGUUCAGGAGUGGAUGAUUUAAGAUCACUGUCCAAGUGUUUGGAACCUAUAGGUCUUAUUGAGGACCAUUAGACUUUGUAACAUUAAAUGGUGCAAUUCUAUAGAUUGUUCAUAGCUCACCCUGUAUAUCAUUUUCUGUUCUGAUUCAUUUUGAUGAGAUGUGUAAUUAGUUUAUAAAACAUGGUUAAUUAUAAAUACCUUUAUUACUCCUGCAAAAUUGACAUGUUUUUUAAGUCAAUACUAUGAAAAUCAAUAUAAAAUCACUCUUAAGUCAUGUUUGUCAAAUGUAUCAUGAAGUGCUGUUCAAAGAAAUCCCAAAUACUUUAUACUAGAUUGGCCUUCCUUUGGUACAAUCUAUAGUUUUUGAUUUGUUUGAUGUUACGUAUUAGAAGGCAAACAUUAUUUUCUGCAGUAUCCAUACAGUAAAUUGAGUGGGGACUGUGAGAGCAAAAUUACAAGAUUAUGUCAUAGGAUCAAAUGGUUGUUUUAUGUAAUCUAAGGGUGGUUCGUCAACCAGCCAUCGUUAAUAUUCUGUGCUUUC
Long non-coding RNA from Oncorhynchus masou masou (cherry salmon), 779 nucleotides. RefSeq lists it as uncharacterized. The record is from RefSeq and is a predicted model, not a curated record. The transcript is spliced from 3 exons. Lineage: Eukaryota; Metazoa; Chordata; Actinopteri; Salmoniformes; Salmonidae.